CAUGCAGUCGAGCGGCAGCACGGGAGCAAUCCUGGUGGCGAGUGGCGAACGGGUGAGUAAUAUAUCGGAACGUGCCCAGUCGUGGGGGAUAACGUAAAGAAAUUUACGCUAAUACCGCAUACGAUCCAAGGAUGAAAGCGGGGGACUUCGCAAGAGGCCUCGCGCGAUUGGAGCGGCUGAUAUCAGAUUAGGUUGUUGGUGAGGUAAAAGCUCACCAAGCCGACGAUCUGUAGCUGGUUUGAGAGAACGACCAGCCACACUGGGACUGAGACACGGCCCAGACUCCUACGGGAGGCAGCAGUGGGGAAUUUUGGACAAUGGGCGAAAGCCUGAUCCAGCAAUGCCGCGUGCAGGAAGAAGGCCUUCGGGUUGUAAACUGCUUUUGUACGGAACGAAAAGGUCUGCCCUAAUACGGCGGGCCCAUGACGGUACCGUAAGAAUAAGCACCGGCUAACUACGUGCCAGCAGCCGCGGUAAUACGUAGGGUGCGAGCGUUAAUCGGAAUUACUGGGCGUAAAGCGUGCGCAGGCGGUGAUGUAAGACAGUUGUGAAAUCCCCGGGCUCAACCUGGGAAUUGCAUCUGUGACUGCAUCGCUAGAGUACGGUAGAGGGGGAUGGAAUUCCGCGUGUAGCAGUGAAAUGCGUAGAUAUGCGGAGGAACACCGAUGGCGAAGGCAAUCCCCUGGACCUGUACUGACGCUCAUGCACGAAAGCGUGGGGA
This 721-nucleotide ribosomal RNA is filed under the name Polaromonas sp. N4_98_3. Its description in RNAcentral is "bacterial SSU rRNA". It matches the Rfam family "Bacterial small subunit ribosomal RNA", at positions 54 to 767 of the family's 1533-position model. The record is from RNAcentral. Lineage: Bacteria; Pseudomonadati; Pseudomonadota; Betaproteobacteria; Burkholderiales; Comamonadaceae.